AAUGAAUGUAAACGUUUUAUAUAAACAAAAUAAAACUUUCAACAACGGAUCUCUUGGUUCUCGCAUCGAUGAAGAACGCAGCGAAAUGCGAUAAGUAAUGUGAAUUGCAGAAUUCAGUGAAUCAUCGAAUCUUUGAACGCACCUUGCACUCUCUGGUAUUCCGGAGAGUACGCCUGUUUGAGUGUCAUGAAACUCUCACUCCCUACCUUUUCUUAAUUGAGAGGGAAGGGACGUGGACUUGGACUCUGCUGGUCUCCUUUAGUGGAAUCGGCUUGUCUGAAAUGUAUUAGCUGGAUCCUCUUUGUAAUUGGUUCUACUCGACGUGAUAAGUAUUUCGUCGAGGACAGUCUUAACGGACUGGCCGAGAGAAGAAGAGUCUUUAGAUCCGCUUCUAAUCCGUGCGAGCAUUUAUGCUCCACACUUUUUAUGAUCUGGCCUCAAAUCAGGUGGGACUACCCGCUGAACUUAAGCAUAUCAAUAAGCGGAGGAAAAGAAACUAACAAGGAUUCCCCUAGUAACGGCGAGUGAAGCGGGAUGAGCUCAAAUUUAAAAUCUGGCAGCCUAAGGUUGUCCGAGUUGUAGUCUAGAGAAGCGUCUUCCGCGC
Molecule: ribosomal RNA, 604 nt
Filed under: uncultured fungus
Lineage: Eukaryota; Fungi
Description: eukaryotic LSU rRNA
Rfam family: 5.8S ribosomal RNA (bases 34-187)
Source: RNAcentral